Molecule: ribosomal RNA, 305 nt
Filed under: uncultured bacterium
Lineage: Bacteria
Description: bacterial SSU rRNA
Rfam family: Bacterial small subunit ribosomal RNA
Source: RNAcentral
AUGGGCCUACGGGGCGCAGCAGUCGGGAAUAUUGCGCAAUGGAGGAAACUCUGACGCAGUGACGCCGCGUAUGGGAAGAAGGUUUUCGGAUUGUAAACCAUUGUCGUUAGGGAAGAAGAAGUGACAGUACCUAAGGAGGAAGCUCCGGCUAACUAUGUGCCAGCAGCCGCGGUAAUACAUAGGGAGCGAGCGUUAUCCGGAUUUAUUGGGUGUAAAGGGUGCGUAGACGGGAAUACAAGUUGGUUGUGAAAGCCCUCGGCUUAACUGAGGAACUGCAACCAAAACUAACAUUCUUGAGUGCAGGA